This 582-nucleotide unclassified non-coding RNA is filed under the name Hevea brasiliensis (rubber tree). The record is from RNAcentral. Lineage: Eukaryota; Viridiplantae; Streptophyta; Magnoliopsida; Malpighiales; Euphorbiaceae.
AUCAACAUGCGAGAAAGGUUGCAUAAACUUUCUCUUGCUUUGCUCUGUAUCAUUCCAGUUUAUGCUGCUUUAGAAAUCCAGUGUAAAUGAUAUUGAAGCUACCACAUACUCAGCUACCUGCUCCCUUUUUUGCAAAGCGCUUAAGUGAUAUGUGGCCAGCAGAAAGCAUCAUUUUCCUGCUUCGCUUGCAUGGAUUGCUUCUGAUGUUCUACUUGCUGAAGCUGUGAUGAUAACUGAAGCAGGUCAAUGGUGGUGCCAUCUUCACAGGAAAGAUGAUCCUCCGCAUUCAUAAAAUUUGAGCCCUGGUAAAUCCCAUCAGUGAGAUCAAAAUUAAUAGCAUCACUACCAUCAGAUAUCAGUAUGGAGCCUAAUUGGCUUCCUUCUGCAGAACUAAGGGAACUUGUUUGGCACCACGCUUGUGGAAGCCUGAGAACUAUCACCUGUUAGCUUUUCAGAAACUUGAUUCACACCAUAAUGGGUAUUGCUACCUGGAACUAACAAUGGGCAGGCCAUAGAAAUUCCUGAUGAAUGACUUAAAUAAUUGUGUGAUUGGGAUGACAGAAGAGAGAGAGCACAACUAGA